UACGAAGGGGGCUAGCGUUGCUCGGAAUUACUGGGCGUAAAGCGCACGUAGGCGGCUUUCUAAGUCGGGGGUGAAAUCCUGGAGCUCAACUCCAGAACUGCCUUCGAUACUGGAAAGCUCGAGUCCGGGAGAGGUGAGUGGAACUGCGAGUGUAGAGGUGAAAUGUGUAGAGAUCGGGAGGAACACCGGUGGCGAAGGCGGGUCUCUGGGCAAUUCCUGACGCUGAGGCGCGAAAGCGUGGGGAGCAAACGGG
This 253-nucleotide ribosomal RNA is filed under the name uncultured bacterium. RNAcentral's name for it is "partial 16S ribosomal RNA". It matches the Rfam family "Bacterial small subunit ribosomal RNA", at positions 524 to 776 of the family's 1533-position model. The record is from RNAcentral.